UGGGGAAUUUUGGACAAUGGGCGAAAGCCUGAUCCAGCAAUGCCGCGUGUGUGAAGAAGGCCUUCGGGUUGUAAAGCACUUUUGUCCGGAAAGAAAUCCUUGGCUCUAAUACAGUCGGGGGAUGACGGUACCGGAAGAAUAAGCACCGGCUAACUACGUGCCAGCAGCCGCGGUAAUACGUAGGGUGCAAGCGUUAAUCGGAAUUACUGGGCGUAAAGCGUGCGCAGGCGGUUUGCUAAGACCGAUGUGAAAUCCCCGGGCUCAACCUGGGAACUGCAUUGGUGACUGGCAGGCUAGAGUAUGGCAGAGGGGGGUAGAAUUCCACGUGUAGCAGUGAAAUGCGUAGAGAUGUGGAGGAAUACCGAUGGCGAAGGCAGCCCCCUGGGCCAAUACUGACGCUCAUGCACGAAAGCGUGGGGAGCAAACAGGAUUAGAUACCCUGGUAGUCCACGCCCUAAACGAUGUCAACUAGUUGUUGGGGAUUCAUUUCCUUAGUAACUAGCUAACGCGUGAAGUUGACCGCCUGGGGAGUACGGUCGCAAGAUUAAAACUCAAAUGAAUUGACGGGGUC
RNAcentral lists this ribosomal RNA (571 nucleotides) under uncultured bacterium. RNAcentral describes it as "partial 16S ribosomal RNA". It matches the Rfam family "Bacterial small subunit ribosomal RNA", at positions 355 to 920 of the family's 1533-position model. The record is from RNAcentral.